Molecule: ribosomal RNA, 496 nt
Filed under: uncultured bacterium
Lineage: Bacteria
Description: bacterial SSU rRNA
Rfam family: Bacterial small subunit ribosomal RNA
Source: RNAcentral
AUGAACGCUAGCGACAGGCCUAACACAUGCAAGUCGAGGGGCAGCACAAGGAGCAAUCUGAGGUGGCGACCGGCGCACGGGUGAGUAACACGUAUGCAACCUGCCUGUAAGCGGGGAAUAACCCGUUGAAAGACGGACUAAUACCGCAUAAUACUAAAUUACUGCAUGGUAAUUUAUUUAAACAUUUAUGGCUUACAGAUGGGCAUGCGCAUGAUUAGCUAGUUGGAGAGGUAACGGCUCCCCAAGGCAACGAUCAUUAGGGGUUCUGAGAGGAAGGUCCCCCACACUGGUACUGAGACACGGACCAGACUCCUACGGGAGGCAGCAGUGAGGAAUAUUGGUCAAUGGACGAGAGUCUGAACCAGCCAAGUCGCGUGCAGGAAGAAUGUUCCCUAUGGAUUGUAAACUGCUUUUGCAGGGGAAUAAAGUGCAUCACGUGUGAUGUUUUGUAUGUACUCUGCGAAUAAGGAUCGGCUAACUCCGUGCCAGCCGCAGC